GAAGUGCGAUAAGCAGUGCGAAUUGCAGAACCGUGAGUCAUCAGAUCUUUGAACGCAACUGGCGCCAGCUGGUUCUCCAGCUGGCAUGCUUGUUUCAGUGUCUUGUUCUCUCAUCACCCAAAUCUUAAUGCUUGAGAUACCCUUCUCUUGCUAAGUAAGAAAGCACUCUGCACUUUGCAGGCUAUCUCGACUUGUUCGAGGGUAGCACUCAAUGCAGCAGUCACAUUUUACAGUGUGAACUCAUUGAGAGUAGAGGCAGCUCAGCUCGUCUGUAAGUGCUUAGACACCCAAACUUUAAUUGCAUCUGAAAUCAAGCAGGAUCACCCGCUGAACUUAA
This 337-nucleotide unclassified non-coding RNA is filed under the name uncultured fungus. Its description in RNAcentral is "sequence contains ITS1". The stretch from base 1 to 103 matches the Rfam family "5.8S ribosomal RNA", at positions 50 to 154 of the family's 154-position model. The record is from RNAcentral. Lineage: Eukaryota; Fungi.